CAACAACAUCACCACCAUCGCCCGGGAUGCAUGGCGAAAUCUUGAUAACAAUGCACGGAGGACAGUACAUGGCUAUUUCUUUGCUGGUUCGUCCCAUCGACUCUGAUCCCUGCGAUCCCGAGGCUGAAGCUGAAGCUGAAGCAUCUUGUCUCUCCAAAGCCGGCGUUGUACGGAGCUAGUGCCGGUUUUCACUCAAAUCUUUCUACGCUUCGGCUACGAUCGCAAGAACGGGUGGUUACUUCCAAUGGAAUACAUACAGGUCGUACAUUCCUCGAUGUCGGCAGAUCUGGAAGUGUUGUAUCUUGAUUUCAUUCAAGACAACAGAUAACCCUGGCAAAACGAGAAUCCAGGAUGACAGAAUUAUGUUUUCAUGGAUUAUCCACUUCGUCGAUUCUCCUUUCGCCUGUACCUUGUUCAAGCAACCCAUGUUUAUUUAGCCUUUGGGCCCUGAC
This 452-nucleotide small RNA is filed under the name Histoplasma capsulatum. RNAcentral describes it as "hypothetical RNA". Lineage: Eukaryota; Fungi; Ascomycota; Eurotiomycetes; Onygenales; Ajellomycetaceae. The record is from RNAcentral. RNAcentral also lists the same sequence under 1 other name.